CCCUGGCAGCUGCUCCAUUGCUCAUACUGAUCUUGUAAAUCCUGGGCUUUGUACAGAUGAAAUCUGCAUCUUUUCUUCUCCUGCUUUCUCACCACUCUAAAUAAUUUGUUGCAUGAAAGUCAGAUUUUCAAAGGGAGAAUGAGAGAACUAAUGAUUUUGCAUGAGACAUUUUGUGAGGAAAAUCACAGAAGAAAUGCUGCCCAGCAAAGACAGACAAUUGCUGUAGUUUUGUUCCCUACUGCCCAGCAAACUGCCCUCCUCUUUUCUGCCAAAAAACAUGGAGAAACAGCGAAAUCAGAAUGAAGAGAACUCAGAGGAAAACUCAGAAGAGCAAACAGAACAACAGAAGGCGAGCCAACAGAGGAGCAAAAGGAAUAUUAGGGUGGGAGACAUCAGUGGAGGCCAGAGACCUCGAUUUCAAUCUCAGCAAACCACUGAGAGUUAAUCAUGCAGAAAUGUAGUCAACUAUCUGAUUCACUUAUUGUGUUAGCUACUGAAUAUUUAUCUGUUUUACAGGUAUAACCUCCACAGGCUGUGCUGCAGAGAGAAAAAAAAUGAGAUGCACAAAGUGAAGUGACUUAGCCAAGUAUUAAAAACCAAACAAAUCCAAUCACCUGGAGAGAAAGCAGCUCCCUGUUUGUUACCAAACUUCCAAGAGGAAGCUACAGUUAAGAUUUAACACCAAUAAAAUUGCAGUGAAGACAGAAGUUCAGAACAUUUACAAGAUUAAGUGCAGACCAUUUAAUUGUGGAGAGUGAAACUAAAACUAACUUCAUUCAUUCUCAUGGCAUUCAGAUAACUGCGGGCAAAAAAGGCAAAAGCUUUAAUAAAGGAAUAGUUCUACUGCAACAAAGGAAAUGAGCAAGAAGGGAGAUGAGGACACAUCUUAAGUCCAUUAAUGGCAGUGGGAAUUUGCCUUCAUCUUCAGUGGGAAUACACUUUCAAAGACAUGGGAAUCGCCCAUACAAACUGGAGGAUAAAAUCUGAACCUUCCGUGGUCUGUGACACAAACACAGUGGAAAUGUCCCCAGCAGGAGUUUCAUAGUCAGGCUUGACCACAGUUCUGUGUGCAGUGCUGGCUGCUGGGAUGGACGUCAUCAUAGCUGCAGGCACAGGCAGUGUCUGUGGUAGAGCCCUCCCUGAGGCCGGGCCAGGCAGGAACCAGGCAGAUAUGCAUCUCCUCUUGGUGAACAUUGACCCUCUUGCUGAUUAUGGGUUUACUUUCAAUGGCCUGCAUUUGGGAAGAUGAGCAGUGUGGACAGCAGGAAUCUUCCCCAGGGAGAUUCAAGAUGUUCAAGGGCCAAGAAUUCAUCCUGGGUAAAUGCUGCCUGCUGAAUGGUGCAAAAGCCAAUGCAGGAAAGCCCAAAUGAAGGACUGAGCAUUUUUUCAGCUGCUGUUUUAGUACUGGCACUACACAGCAAAGUAGACAUUAAUAGAACAGAGUUGCCAUUCUUCUGCUAACAGCAGCAUUCAUCUCCCUCUCAUCCCUUUGGUCUUCUUCCACCCCCAUGAUUACACCACAUCAGCUCACUGUGUGAUAGUGUGCACACCAGGACCUUGUUGUACUCUUGAAGGGUGAGUUCAUCUGCCCCACAAGCACAUGGCCCCUGUAGUUCUGUUUGAGCUCUUUAAGUCCUCCACUAUCCUUGAUUAUUGCACUUUAAGGAAGAAGACUUCUUCAUAACAACUUAUCAAGUUAUGUUUCAUAUUGGAUCCGUGCUGCCAGUCCUUUGCAAUUUACACAAAGAAAAAAAAAAUUACGAGUAUUUUCUCAGGAACCUUUUUAAAAGAAAUAUAUUUGCCAUGUGCUAAUGCGUCUGUGUUGUACAUGGCACUGAUUUUCAGCCCCUAGGGAUAAGGAGGUCUAUGAACAACCUUUAAGAGAGUCACAGAUAUGACUAAACAGUGCAAGUUCGUGCGUAUUUUCUAGACAUUACACUUCUUAAGGAAGCCCAUGCCUCUAUUGGAAAACUAAAAAAAUAAUUCACAAUCUGUGACUUUUUUGUAAGUCAAAAUUUUGUUUUUCUAUUGGAAGUCAAAAUAUCAUCUUUUAUUUGAUUUUUUUGAGAGCUUUGCCUAAGAUUCUUCAGGAACAGACAACUUAUUUUUUUUUAUUAUUUUUAUUUCCCCCAGAAAAUGCAGUAUUUCUUUAAUACUAAACUCCGCUGGUCUCCAGUGCCCUAACUUUUAACUAUCACCUUGUAUAAAAUCAGUGUAAGAAAUGAGAAAUGAAGCAUGCUUUUAAAAUCAUGUAGUAGUGCUAUUAGGUUCUGUGGGAUUAGUUUGAUGGUCAAGUAAAAUAACUGUCAGUUAGACAGAUAGUGCAAUAAAGGUGAAACACACUAUUGCCGAUAGGAAAGUAAUCUUCAUUUCAUGGUCCCAGACUUCUCCUACCAUAUGAGCAUGGCACUUUGUGGGACUGAGUGGCACUCACCAGUGUAACACUGCUGAACACAAACAACUUGAUUACAUUAGUUAAACGUGGUAGAGGCAAAGUGGAACUGAACAGCUUCAUGGCCCUUAUCAAGUAUAGCAGAAGUGCAGUUUCUUCUCUUUGCAAGGGAAAUUUCACAUGUUAGGGCUAACAACAUUUGGAACAAGUCCACUGUAAUUUCAGUGUAGCAUUGGAUGAAGCGUGACAAUGAGAUCAGUCAAGUAAAAAACUGGGAGAGUUAAAUUCUUGUCAAUUUUACAAUAGCACUGCACAAAUUGUGUGUGCACUUGUGCAAGGUGUCGAGCAGAAAGGAAAUAUGUUUCUUCUAAGAGGAUACAGGAGUGGCUACUACUACAGCGUACAAAAGCUAUCUUUGAAAAGUUGGAAUGAUAACCAUUGCUUUCUUCACACAGAUUUCCUAAGUUUACGAGACCAGAAAAGCUCUUAUGUUGCCAGCAUCACUCCCUCAGAGGGAACUGGUAAAAGGCUAUCAGAAAUUUGAGUCCUGGAUUUCAGUACCUUCUCCAGGCUGAGCUUCAAAAAUGAAAGUCAGCUUUUUUAAAAGCUGGUUUUCCAUCUUUACACAUCCAUUAUUCCAUCUUAACUUCAAUUCCAUGUUUUUUCCUUCUUAUAAAAAAAAACACAAAAACACACCUGGACUGACAUGUGGAAAUCAUAUGUGUCAGAACAGACUUUUGGAUUUCUCCUACUUCAAACAUACAUAGCAUCAUAUCCAUCAUAGCCAUCUGGCUGGCUUAAUACUGAAGAGCACUUCAUAAAGUCAUUUGUAUGGAUGUAUGAACAUGCCUCAUAAAAAGAAAGGUACAACUGAAGAGCUCUAAUACUGUAAAGAAACCUACUUAAAAGUGAAGAAACGUGGGAAUGACAAUUGCCUGUGCAGCUUUGAUUGUGUUGUUUCUUAUAAGACUGUCUUUAAUCACCCACCGGACAGUCCUUCAUUUAGUGUACAAGAUCUCCAGCAUUCUCAGAUAAUGGGUAGGAGUGUUUUGCUUGUUUUUAAUUCUUUUUAUUAAAUGUAUAGUCUUCUCUUCCUACUUACUGCUCAUUACCCAGCUCCUUCCCAGAAACUAACUCCAUCCUGGAGUUUGACAUGUUUAGCUCCCUGAAGCAUUAUCGUUCUUGCAUUUGGUCUAGGAUUACCAUGGCUUUAUCCAAAGGUUUUACCAAGCAGCAAAGCUUUUCUUAAAACCCACUGAAAUGCUUGGUUUCAGCCAGGCAGUUUCCUGAUAUUAGUGUAACACAGUAUCUUUCCAAAAGCCUGGUAGGUGAAAGCUUGGUUUGAGAACACACUGGGAUGUUCAGUAGCACUGAUAUCUGUUAACAAUCACAACUGUUAACAAUCCUUGGAAGUGUAGGAAGUAUUUAAAAGCCAGGUGGUUCAGGAAGCUGGCAGUGGAUUAUGAGGCAGUAACAUGAGGGAUAACUAAAAAGGUAAAGAGAGUUGUCUGCUGCAGCUUGCCUUUUGAAACAAGACAAAUGGGAACAACUCAUGCACGCAAACAUGAGGAGGACAGCACAGAGUGGUGGAGUGCCUGCCUCUUCCUAAAGCAAGAUCAUACCUAUGGAAACAGCCUAGGGGUGAGGGCACCGGAUUGACAUCUUGCCUGAAACAACAGGAUAAUCUUGUUUCAUCUCUGCCAUCAGGCAUAGGGAAUGAAAGAUCCUGAGCCCAAGGGACAGCAAAUAAUUGCUCCCCAGACAAGAUGGACUGCUUCCUCUUGUAAAGGAAAAGCUCCUCUCCAUUCAAAGCUGGACAGGUACAUAGAGAAACAACAGCAUGGUCAGGGGGUGCAGUGACGUUCAUCCUUGUCAGGAUGGCAGUCUGUUCCCAGGCCUACCAAGCAAAAAUACAGCAGAAUGAACAGGUAAGAGUAAAAGUGUAAAUAUCAGCAUCAGCCUGGAUUUUUAUAUAUGUGGUCUGGAAAGUUAUAUAUUCUGUUGUAAAUUAGUCAAGGAGAAUGAGGUGCUAAAAGCCCUCAACAGAGAUCUGUGAAGAGAUUAUGUUCACCUGAGCACCAUAUUCUAGUUAAGCUUCUAGAAAGUGGAAGAGAACUUUGUCUUCAAACAGCUGUGUUGGGUUCUCCAUCACCACUCCUCCAUUUUCCAGUGAUUGUGCUUGGCAUCAUAUCAACAAUAUCAGCCCUGAAGGUUGUGUAACAAGGUAAUGAUACAAGCCUUAGGGAUGAAGGUGGAGGUGCUGGUAGGAUGACAACGUCCCACCACCCACAUACAGUAAGAAAUAAUUGAGAUUAGGUGAGGCUGCAGUCAGACAUGAAAAU
Non-coding RNA from Coturnix japonica (Japanese quail), 4734 nucleotides. Lineage: Eukaryota; Metazoa; Chordata; Aves; Galliformes; Phasianidae. The record is from RefSeq and is a predicted model, not a curated record.